CGAUUAAGUAAUGAAGGGCGCACGGUGGAUGCCUUGGCACUAAGAGCCGAUGAAGGACGGAACCAACACCGAUAUGCUUCGGGGAGCUGUAAGUAAGCGUUGAACCGAAGAUUUCCGAAUGGGGGAACCCAGCACAUCAUUAUGUGUUGCCGGUCAGUGAAUAGAUAGCUGACGCGGCGGUAGACCCGGGGAACUGAAACAUCUCAGUACCCGGAGGAAGAGAAAGAAAAAUCGAUUCCCUGAGUAGCGGCGAGCGAAACGGGAAGAGCCCAAACCAGCUUCGGCUGGGGUUGUAGGACACCGACACGCCAAGUAAUGUUGAGCCGAACGGCCUGGAAAGGCCGGCCGGAGGGGGUAACAGUCCCGUAGGCAAAGGACAUUAUUUGGCCCGGUGGAUCCUGAGUACGGCGGAACACGAGGAAUUCCGUCGGAAUCCGGGAGGCCCAUCUCCCAAGGCUAAAUACUCCUUAGUGACCGAUAGCGAACCAGUACCGUGAGGGAAAGGUGAAAAGCACCCCGGAAGGGGAGUGAAACAGAACCUGAAACCGUGUGCCUACAAGUAGUCAGAGCCCGUUAAUGGGUGAUGGC
Molecule: ribosomal RNA, 588 nt
Filed under: Salinicoccus sediminis
Lineage: Bacteria; Bacillati; Bacillota; Bacilli; Caryophanales; Staphylococcaceae
Description: bacterial LSU rRNA
Rfam family: Bacterial large subunit ribosomal RNA
Source: RNAcentral